This 490-nucleotide ribosomal RNA is filed under the name uncultured Actinomycetales bacterium. RNAcentral's name for it is "partial 16S ribosomal RNA". The record is from RNAcentral. Lineage: Bacteria; Bacillati; Actinomycetota; Actinomycetes; Actinomycetales.
CACGUAGUUAGCCGGUGCUUCUUCUGCAGGUACCGUCACCCGAAAGCUUCUUCCCUGCUGAAAGAGGUUUACAACCCGAAGGCCGUCAUCCCUCACGCGGCGUCGCUGCAUCAGGCUUUCGCCCAUUGUGCAAUAUUCCCCACUGCUGCCUCCCGUAGGAGUCUGGGCCGUGUCUCAGUCCCAGUGUGGCCGGUCGCCCUCUCAGGCCGGCUACCCGUCGUCGCCUUGGUAGGCCUCUACCCCACCAACUAGCUGAUAGGCCGCGGGCUCAUCCUGCACCGCCGGAGCUUUACACACAGGAACAUGCAUCCCCGUGUCAUAUCCGGUAUUAGACCCCGGUUUCCAGGGCUUGUCCCAGAGUGCAGGGCAGAUUGCCCACGUGUUACUCACCCGUUCGCCACUAAUCCCCGGCCGAAACCGGUUCAUCGUUCGACUUGCAUGUGUUAAGCACGCCGCCAGCGUCGUCCGUCGUGCCGACGGAGUCAACUAC